This 301-nucleotide ribosomal RNA is filed under the name uncultured bacterium. Its description in RNAcentral is "partial 16S ribosomal RNA". It matches the Rfam family "Bacterial small subunit ribosomal RNA", at positions 509 to 807 of the family's 1533-position model. The record is from RNAcentral.
CAGUCGCCACGGUAAUACGUAGGUGGCAAGCGUUGUCCGGAAUUAUUGGGCGUAAAGGGCUCGCAGGCGGUUUCUUAAGUCUGAUGUGAAAGCCCCCGGCUCAACCGGGGAGGGUCAUUGGAAACUGGGAAACUUGAGUGCAGAAGAGGAGGGUGGAAUUCCACGUGUAGCGGUGAAAUGCGUAGAGAUGUGGAGGAACACCAGUGGCGAAGGCGACUCUCUGGUCUGUAACUGACGCUGAGGAGCGAAAGCGUGGGGAGCGAACAGGAUUAGAGACCCCCGUAGUCCCUGUCUCUUAUAC